Molecule: ribosomal RNA, 459 nt
Filed under: uncultured bacterium
Lineage: Bacteria
Description: partial 16S ribosomal RNA
Rfam family: Bacterial small subunit ribosomal RNA
Source: RNAcentral
CCUACGGGAGGCAGCAGUGAGGAAUAUUGGUCAAUGGGCGCGAGCCUGAACCAGCCAAGUCGCGUGAGGGAGGACGGCCCUACGGGUUGUAAACCUCUUUUGCCGGGGAGCAACGGGCGUCACGUGUGGCGCCACUGAGAGUACCGGAGAAAAAGCAUCGGCAAACCUCGGGCCAGCAGCCCGGGUAAUACCGGGGAUGCGAGCGUUAUUCGGAUUUUUUGGGUUUAAAGGGGUCGUAGGCGGAUCGUUAAGUCAGUGGGAAAAUUGAGGGGCCAAACCGUUUCCCGCCGUUGAAACUGGAGCUCUUGAGUGGAAGAGAAGUAUGCGGAAUGCGUGGGGUAGCGGUGAAAUGCAUAGAUAUCACGCAGAACCCCGAUUGCGAAGGCAGCAUGCCGGCUUCCGACUGACGCUGAAGCACGAAAGCGUGGGGAUCGAACAGGAUUAGAUACCCUAGUAGUC